Cryptomeria japonica (Japanese cedar) is the source of this 8759-nucleotide RNA transcript. RefSeq lists it as uncharacterized. The transcript is spliced from 4 exons. Lineage: Eukaryota; Viridiplantae; Streptophyta; Pinopsida; Cupressales; Cupressaceae. The record is from RefSeq and is a predicted model, not a curated record.
UAUUGGACCUAUACUUAUAUUAAGUAUUAGAACUAUCAAUUGGUAUCAGAGCUUUGGACUCCGGAAGGAAAGUUCAAAGGCACUUGAGUUAAAGAUCCAAAGAUGUAUAAGAGGGAUGCACCGAAGCUGAACAAGUCAAGUUUCUCUACAUGGCAGAAAAUGAUGAAGUUACAUCUAUCAGGAGUUGGAGAAUAUGUUGUAUACUAUCUAGAGAAUGAUUUUGUCACACCGAGCACCUAUCCAUUCACUAUGGAAGAGAUAAAGGCAAAGUAAGAACAUAUUCAAGCAAUGAUUGAAAUAACAUCUGCAUUGACCGAUUCAGAGUUUAAUGAUCUAGAAGGCUGCAAUGAUGCAAAGGCAAUGUGGGAUAAGCUCAUAUCAGUAUAUGGAGGAGAUGAACAUGUUCAAAGUGAAAAAGUAGACAGUUCAAGAGGACAACUUGAAUCCAUGAGGAUGAAUGAAGGUGAGAACAUAACUCAGUAUAGUACAAGACUAAAGGAGAUUGUCAAUCAAAUCAAAGGAGCAAGUGGAACUAUUGAAGAAAAAGAUAUAACAAGUAAGUUGUUAAGAGCCCUUCUACCAACUUAUGCAAUCCAAGUCUCAGCAAUCAGUGAAUUGAGGUCUGUACCUAAUAUGCCAGUUUCCUUGGAUGCUACUAUUGGUAAGCUACAUGCAUUUGAGUUAAGUAAUUUUGAUAAUAGUGGAUCUUCGGUAAAUAAAGUUGAAUCUGCAUUUAGUUCUUUUCAUCUUGAUGAAUCUAAUGAUUACAAUGAAAGAAAGUAUAAGUACUCUGAAGGAGAUCACAGUGGAGCAAGUGAAAGAUUUCGGAAGAACAUGGAAGCAGUACACAAACUGUAUGAAGAAAUCAGAAAGCAAGAAGAGUUUGAAGCACUAUUAGCCAAAAAGUUACCGAGAGGCAAAGGUAAGUAUAAAGGAAAACUACCUUUGAAAUGUUUCAAUUGUGAUAAGAUUAGACAUAUGGCUUCUAACUAUCCUGAAAAAAGAUUUUACUGAAAAGAAAGAUUACCGAGAUGACAGACAGAAAGAUAACCAUUAAAGAGGACACCGAGACUUUAGAAGAAGAGAUAGAAAGACAUGCUUAAUAGCUGAUGAAGAAUCUAACAAUGAUAAAUCAGAUGAGACUGAUAUAGAGGAAGUUGUUUAUGUGGCUAUCAAGGAUGGAUUAGAUGAAGAAAGGUAUGAAGAAAAAGCCCUAAUAUCUCACAUAAACACUAAUGAUUCUUGGAUUAUAGAUAGUGGAUGCUCACAUCAUAUGACAGGAGAUAAACACAAGUUUGUUAUGUUAGAAGAUUAUGAUGGAGGCUAUGUUAGAUUUGGUAAUGAUGCACCAUGUUCGGUAAGAGGUAAAGGAUCUAUAACACUUCUUGAUAAUGCAAGAUGCAAUGAUGUUUAUUGGGUUGAAGGUUUGAAAUACAAUUUGUUGAGUGUAGCACAACUAAACAACACAGGUUACCGAAUAGAAUUUCAGAAAGGAAUUGUCAAAGUUCAUGACAAGAAUGGAAAGUUAGCUGCUACCGGGACACAAACAAAAGGUAAUACAUUUCACCUUGACUCAACUCGAAAUAAGUGUUUGCAUGCAAAGAUUGAUGAUACUUGGCUAUGGCAUAAGAGGUUUUGUCAUGUAAAUUUUGAUAACCUGAUCAAGAUAAGUAAGAAGCACAAAGUAAGAGGUCUACCGAGUCUUGAAAAACCUGAGAAUGCUAUGUGUCGAGGAUUCUAGAUGGGUAAGAUGACAAGAUCAAGCUUUACAAGUAAGUCUUAUACUUCUAAGGGAAUUUUAGAUCUAGUGCACAUUGAUCUUUGUGGUCCUAUGAAAGUUCAAAGUUAUUAUGGUGAUAAGUAUUUCAUAUUAUUUGUGGAUGACUAUUCAAGGAUGAUGUCAGUAAUGUUUUUAAAAGAAAAAUCAGAAGCUUUUCAAAUGUUUAAAUGGUACAAGGCAAGAGUUGAAAAUGAAAUAGGAAGACAACUGAAAUGUCUUAGAUUAGAUAGAGGAGGAGAGUUCACAUCUGAUGAAUUCAACUUAUUCUGCAAUGAUCAUGGUAUUAAAAGACAACUCUCUGCACCUAGAACUCCACAGCAGAAUGGAAUAGCUGAAAGAAGAAACAGAUCUAUUGUGGAUUGUGCUAGAACACUGAUGAUUGAGAAGAAGGUGUCACAAACAUUUUGGAGAGAAGCAAUAAGCACAGCUAUUUACACCUUGAACCGAGUUCAAUUGAAGAAAGGUACUUUGAAGACACCAUAUGAGAUCUGGUAUGAUAAGAAACCUAAUGUUAGCUAUUUUAAAAUCUUUGGAAGUAGAUGCUAUGUUCAUAAAGAUGAUAGAAAUGGCAAGUUUGAUCAGAAAAGUGAAGAAGGGACAUUUCUAGGUUAUUCUUCUAGAAGCAAAGCAUUUAAAUGUCUGAUCAAAUCAUCUAACAAAAUAGUAGAAAGUGCAAAUGUGAAAAUUAAUGAAUUUGCAGAAAGAAAUGAUGAAGAAAAUUCCAAAGAACCAAAAGACUAUGAUGAAUUUGUCUAUGUGCAACAGAGAAGUCCUACCAAGAAAACUGUUGAAGAAAAUGAAGAAAAUAUCCAGUUACCAAGUGAUGAAGAAGAUCAUAUAGAGCCUACCGAGCCUGUAAUAGCCAAGUAUGCCAGAAGACAUCAUGCACCAAGUUAGAUUAUAGGAGAUAAGGAUGAUCCAGUGAUGACAAGGAACAAACUGAGACAGAACACAUGUUUGAUAUCUGAAUUUGAACCGAGAAUAGUAAAAGAGGCAUUUAACAGUGAAGAUUGGGUAAAUGCUAUGAUAGAAGAGAUUGAUCAAAUAAAGAAGAAUGACACAUGGACACUAAUCCCAAGACCGAAGGACAAAAAUAUAAUCAGUACAAAGUGGAUUUUCAGAAACAAGCUAAAUGAAAAAGUGGAGGUCAUUCGAAACAAAGCAAGAUUAGUUUGCAAAGGUUAUGCACAAGAAGAAGGAAUUGAUUAUGGUGAAACUUUUGCACCUGUUGCUAGACUUGAAGGAGUAAAAACAUUGUUGGCCUAUGCUGCUUUCAAGAACUUCAAGAUAUAUCAAAUGGAUGUCAAAUCUGCAUUUCUGAAUAGAAUAUUAGAAGAAGUUUUCAUUGAACAACCUGAAGGAUUUGUUGAAGACAAUAAUAAAGAUCAGGUAUGUAAGUUGAACAAAGCUUUAUAUGGUUUGAAACAAGCACCAAGAGCAUGGUAUGAAAGAUUGCACUCUUACUUGAUUAAGAUUGGUUUUAUAAGGACAAAUGAGAACAGCAACAUGUACAUGAAGAAUGAUGAAAAUGGAAUACUGAUCUCAGCCAUAUUUGUUGAUGAUAUUAUAUUUUGUGGAAAUGACUCUUUAUGCAAGAAAUUUGGAAAUGAAAUGAGCAGAGAAUUUGAGAUGUCAUUAAUCGGUGAGAUAAAGUAUUUUAUAGGUCUACAUAUACUGCAAAUGAAAAAUGAGAUUUUCAUUACUCAAUCCAAAUACAUAAAGGAAAUCUUGAAGAAAUUUGGAAUGGAUGAUUCAAAACUAGUAAGUACUCCUAUGACUACCAACUGUAAAUUAUCGAAGAAUGAUGAAUCUGCAUUUGUUGAUGAGACACACUACCGAUCCAUGAUUGGAAAACUACAAUAUGCUAUUCACAGCAGACCAGACAUAGCACAUGCAGUAGGUAUAGUUGCAAGAUUCUCUGCAGAUCCUAAGGAAACACACAUGACAGCAAUCAAAAGAAUUUUUAGAUACUUGAAAGGCACAGAGGAUUAUAGCUUAGUAUAUCAGAAAGGAAAUGAUUUUGAUUUAAAAUUUUAUACUGAUGCUGAUUGGGUAGGCAACAUUGAUGACAGAAAAAGCACAAGUGGUGGAGCUUUCUUUUUAGGAGAAAGACUAGUGAGUUGGCUUAGCAAGAAACAAGGAUGUGUUUCAUAGUCAACAACAGAAGCUGAAUACAUUGCUGCAGCAUUGAAUUGUACCAACAUUGCAUGGAUCAAACAACUGUUGGAAGGUAUAAAUGAGAAAGUUACCGAGACAGUAACUAUAUUCUAUGACAAUACUAGUGCCAUUAAUAUUUCAAAAAAUCUUGUUAUGCACUCUAAGACAAAGCACAUAUCUAUCAAAUAUCAUUAUCUUAGAGAAGAAGCUCAAGAGAAGAAAGUGGUGUUGGAAUAUGUUAGCACAAAGGAGCAAAUAGCAGAUAUCUUCACCAAGCCACUACCAAAGGACACUUUUGAAUAUCUUAGAAGUAAGUUAGGGGUCCUACCCCUAUCUUCUACUCACUGACCGAGUUCGUUGAAAGCAUCAAUCCGAUGACUCUAUUGAAUAUCUUUUGGGAGUUGAUGUUGGAGUUAUACACUUUAGGAUGUUUUCUAAAAGUGUACUGGAAUUAAUACUGGAAAUAAUACAGAGAAUAUUAUAGGGAACAAGAAUUGAAGACAAAUGCUCUGAUCGAGACUCAGUUGAUACACAACAGCAGGAAAUAACUUCUUACAGAAACAAAUUAUGUUUUAGUUCUUUUCUUUUUGGCAUUGUUGUCAAAGGGGGAGAAUACCUAUGAAAGGGGAGAAGAGCAGACUACAGAUUGGAAAGAAGACUGAGAAAAUAGGAGAAGUCUAAUGUAUGGGGGAGAGCAUUUCAGCAUUCAGAAUCACAGCAAUCCGAAUCUACUAAGGUCAAAUCAAUUGGUUUUUCCAUCAAUGCCAAAGGGGGAGAUUGUUGGCAAUAUUGCAUUAUAACAGACUAUGAAAGAUUGUUGGCAUUUCAAUAAGGAUAUUAAGAAGGUUGUUGAUGAUUAUGGAUAUAACUGAUUAAAGAUGUUUUACUAUCUUGAUAUUAUUAUUUUUUCAUUGAUGUCAAGAAAUUGAUUUUCUAAUUCAGUAUGAUGUUGCCAUAUCAUGAGAAGUAUGAUAUGAAGAUUAUGAAGAAGUCGGUAAAAGACACAGGAAAGAAUAUGAUGAAUAAAGGGAUGAAUAAGGUAUUCAAUGGGCAACUACUACCGAGUCAGACAAUGAUGAGAUCAUGAUGUUUUAGAUUGUUUUAACAUCAUACAUAUGUUGUAAAAUGUAAAGGUUAAUACUAUACUAUGUUAUCAACCAAAGAACCUAGUCGAUAAACCCUAAGGAACCUAGUCGGUAAACCCUAAGGUUAUCGCUAUCGGUUAAUGAAGGCGGAAUGUCUACUGAGUGAAGUUUAGUAUUCACCGAGUUGUUACCGAGUUGUAACUAAGCUAUAACAGAAUGCAUUAAAUGUUUACAUGCUGUAUUUAAUGAAAGAAGCUGAUGAGCUGGAGCGGAUCAAUGAUUGGUAAGCCGUGGAAGAAGUUUGUUAAUGAAUCUAAGGCACAAGAAAGUCGGCAUGAAGAUCUACAUCUCAGAUUGAACCGCAAUACCUUGGCACAAGUUCCAAGACUAUUAUGCAAGUUCCAAGGCGGGGUAAAACAUUUUCAGAUCGAAAGAUGCAUUGAACCUGGACAAGAUUGCAGAUCUGAUGGCUAUGAUUGAUCAUGGGAAAUGUGAUCAAGGAGAUUAAGCGGUUACCUAAUUGUUUAUAAAUAGGAAAUUGUUGAUAAAGAAUGUAUGCGGGCAAGUGUAUGCACAGGGAUGCUACAUAGUGAUUACCGAGCAGAGAAGCUUGAAGACCUUUUAGAAUAACAGAGUAUAGAAGCCUAGCAGAUAGACAAGAUUAGUUCUAUGUCUAGAUUGUAUUGAACAAAUAAGAAUCUGCUUUAGCAUUUUAGAUGUGAAGUUGCAGAUAGAUUUUUAUCACUGUUAUUUUGGGAAAGUGACAGAAAAUCUCUUAACCGAGUGGACUUAACAAUCUUAUAUGUAAAUCCUCUAGCAAGGUGACAUUCUGAUUGAGUGUUUGAAAUUCUUUGACAAGGUCACUUCUAACAAAGUGAAGAUCCUAACAGAUCUGAGGGAAAUCCCUUAACCGGGUCACAUCUAGCAAUGUGUUUGUAAUCUUUAACAGGAUUUGCUUUUAACCGAGCAUACUCUAGAAGAGUAUAUUUCUUAGUGGGUCCGAAAUCCAACGGUGGUUUUUCCCUAUUUGGGUUUCCACGUUAAAUCUGGUGUUAUGAGGUUUAUAUUGUUCAUAUGCUUUUGAGUUUGCAUGUUUGAUAGUUUUGGUUAUAUGACUGAUAUAUAUGUUACCGAGGUUGAAUUUGAUGUUUUUAUGGAUGGUUAAGUUUGUAUGAUUCACCCCCCCCCCCCUCUCAUCUUGUUGGCUAUUGGAUCUGUACUUAUAUUAAGUAUCAGAACUAUCAGCAAGAGGGUGGAUAAAAACAAAUGAACAAAAGACAUAUUUGCUUCCUAUUAUUGUUCAUUUUCCAUUGGUACUAUAAACCUAAUUUAUAUAUCAUCAUAUUUUUUUAAUUGAUACUUGUGAAUUUAUUUACGCUCAAGCUCUUCCUUAAGAACAUGUGUUGUUGGUUGUUUCUUAAAUAAUUAUCAAUUUUGAUUAGGAAAGCAAGUUUGUUUGCUGCAUUCUUUAUUCUCUACAAAGAGCUUUAAAGAGCUUCCACCAGGAUUUGAGGAUUCUUUUUGUUUGUUUCCUGGGUCCUUUCUUGUUAGAUUUCACAUUGCUUCUGCAGUAUUUACUGAUUUCUUUUUAGUUUUUGUUAUUAUUGUUGUUGUAGUGGUGUUUUGUUUUGCUUGUAGGAAUGGAUGUCUUGAAUAUAGAUUGGAAGAACAUUGACGACAGAUUUGUGAGGGAUGAGUUUUAUGAAAAUAUUCAGGCACCUAAAUGGUUGGACUUCUUGGAACUAGAGGAACCUAUGGAUGAUGAUGCCUGGUUUUGCAAGCCUGGUAUGAUUUUCCAAUCUAUGUAAUAAAUUGUUUGAGUUCUUUUAGUAUUUAGGCCCUACGUUUGAAAUUUUGAGCAUGAAAAGUCAAAUUGGAUAAUCUUGCAUGGUCGAGGAUCCAUAAAUAUAAUAUCUUUGGCACCUAAUUAAGGCCUUUAGAUUUCCAUAGUCCAUUCUGUUGUGUAAUGGUUUCCAUAGGGCUUUAGAUUUCCAUAGUCAAUUUUCUAGGAUUUACAUUCUUACAACAACAGUUCUUAUAAUUGUUUACAUCCUGAACCUACACCAUCUAUCUAUUGUUUGCAAAAAUAAACUGGGCUAUUCUAGAUAGGAUGGUUACUGCUACAAAAGUUAUGCUCUUUAUAAGAGUUUGAAAGACAAGUCAUCUCACUUAAAGAAAUAAGAAAGUAAGGUAACGUUUCUCUCUUAUUGAUUGGACCAUUCCCGCACAAUCCAAGUAAUGCCAACUAAUUGUUAAAUCUGGCAGCAUACUACUAUUUGUUGAAUGACAACAAAUUGGAAUCAAGAGGACAAAAUUGAAGCCUAUAAAAUCUAUGGGAGUUUUUUUGAAGUUUAUAUGCUUGAUUAUGUUGAAGCCUCUUUUAAUAUCCAAUUUUUUUUUUGUGCAUUUUGUGGUAUCCUUGGUGGCAUGGUGGGGUUUUGCUUGGUUCUGGUGGUGGGUUCUUAUUAGGACCUCUACUUCUUGAACUUGGUGUAAUUCCAUAGGUAGCAAGUGCCAUUGCAACCUUUGUGAUGAUGUUUUCUUCCUCAUUUUCUGUGAUAGAAUUCUAUUUUCUUGAUAGGUUUCCAAUUGGUUAUGCAUUGUGUCUUAUAGGCAUUUAUGUUUUAUCCAGAUUCUGGGGCCAAUAUAUGGUGCAGAAGCUAGUGACAUUUAUGGGAAGGGCUUCAAUUAUUGUCUUCAUCCUUUCUGGUAUAAUUUUUGCCAGUGCUUUGACUAUGGGUGUCGUUGGAAUAGAAACAACAAUUACCAUGAUCAAACAACACUAGUAUCUAGGUUUCCUUAGUAUGUGCGAAAAAUCUUAGCAAAUAAACUAUGUGGGUUAUGGGUUAAAUGAUUUAAUCAAUUAACCACCAAUCCAAGAGAGUGAUUCAAGUUAUGCCAAUAACUCAUUGGAAUUCACUUUCUUGUUUGUAGUGUCCUUGGUCAAUUAUUACUUUAUGAAAGAAAAAAAUCAUAUUUGAAAGGUGAGAAAAUAAAAGCGAUCAAUCUCUCGUUGAUCCAGAGAUGUAUAUGUUCAUAGUGUAAUUUAUGUAAAAUAUAGGGAACAAGGGAUUCUAAAGUUGUGAGUGUUCAUGAUUAGUCUAGUCAUAAAAUUUGCAGUUAUAAGCAUGUAGAUUUAUUGUAGUCAUCAUCCAUGACAAGAGCUAAUUCCCAAACUCACACAGUUAAUACCUCUGGGAAACAUCAGGUAGUGCUCUAAUUUUUGUCUGUGUGAUUUUCAUGACACUGGGAGCAGCAUGGGGGGCUUGUCUGAUACAAUUUUGCUGUAAGUUUCAAUCAUGUUCAACUUUCUAAUAAGCAAAAGUUCAAUGAUAUUAGCUAGGUAUGAGUUUGGUUUCUUUUCAUGGCUUGCACGUUAAGAUUGUGAACGUGACCAAGCUGUGCAAGCAACAACAAAUUGUGACUGUUAGUGGGUAGCUCCCAGGUCCCGCCAUUUAUGUAAAUAAUGGUGACAACCUUGUGGUUCAAGUGCUAAACCAAGUUGCUUACAAUAUUAUAAUCCACCGGUAUAUAACAAGUUCAUGUCCAAUUCCUAGGAGAUCAAAUUAUACAAGACUAAUUGUUUUCAAAACAUCUAAAUGCCUUCAAUUCUCUUUUAUUUUGUGAAAUAAGAUUUAGUAGUAGAUUGGACGCAACUGCAUCAAGCUUCAUAUUUUUUAUUGAAAACAAAAAAAUUGGGUCCAACGUGUGUUUGAAAAGUAAGGGUUUCUGUUUAU